UGGGGAAUAUUGCACAAUGGGCGAAAGCCUGAUGCAGCAACGCCGCGUGAGGGAAGACGGUUUUCGGAUUGUAAACCUCUGUUUUCGGUGACGAACAAAUGACGGUAACCGAGUAGGAAGCCACGGCUAACUACGUGCCAGCAGCCGCGGUAAUACGUAGGUGGCAAGCGUUAUCCGGAAUUACUGGGUGUAAAGGGAGCGCAGGCGGGAUAGCAAGUCAGCUGUGAAAACUAUGGGCUCAACCCAUAAACUGCUUUUGAAACUGUUUCCCUUGAGUAUCGGAGAGGCAGGCGGAAUUCCUAGUGUAGCGGUGAAAUGCGUAGAUAUUAGGAGGAACACCAGUGGCGAAGGCGGCCUGCUGGACGACAACUGACGCUGAGGCGCGAAAGCGUGGGGAGCAAACAGGAUUAGAUACCCUGGUAGU
This 424-nucleotide ribosomal RNA is filed under the name uncultured Oscillospiraceae bacterium. RNAcentral describes it as "bacterial SSU rRNA". It matches the Rfam family "Bacterial small subunit ribosomal RNA", at positions 355 to 794 of the family's 1533-position model. The record is from RNAcentral. Lineage: Bacteria; Bacillati; Bacillota; Clostridia; Eubacteriales; Oscillospiraceae.